UCCCUGAUGGCUCAGUGGGUAAAGAAUCUGCCUACAAUGCAGGAAAUGCAGGUUCGAUUCCUGGGUUGGGAA
This 72-nucleotide transfer RNA is filed under the name Ovis aries (sheep). It matches the Rfam family "tRNA". Rfam says of the family: Transfer RNA (tRNA) molecules are approximately 80 nucleotides in length. Their secondary structure includes four short double-helical elements and three loops (D, anti-codon, and T loops). Further hydrogen bonds mediate the characteristic L-shaped molecular structure. tRNAs have two regions of fundamental functional importance: the anti-codon, which is responsible for specific mRNA codon recognition, and the 3' end, to which the tRNAs corresponding amino acid is attached (by aminoacyl-tRNA synthetases). tRNAs cope with the degeneracy of the genetic code in two manners: having more than one tRNA (with a specific anti-codon) for a particular amino acid; and 'wobble' base-pairing, i.e. permitting non-standard base-pairing at the 3rd anti-codon position. The record is from Rfam by way of RNAcentral. Lineage: Eukaryota; Metazoa; Chordata; Mammalia; Artiodactyla; Bovidae.